GACGAACGCUGGCGGCGUGCCUAACACAUGCAAGUCAACUUGACGGAAGGAGCAAUCUGACCGUAGAGUGGCGCAAGGGUGCGUAACGCGUAAGUAACUUGCCCCAAGGUAAGGAAUAACGUCGAGAAAUCGGCGCUAAUACCUCAUAAUGCAGCGGAUCCGCAUGGAUAUGUUGUUAAAGGUUUACCGCCUUGGGAUAGGCUUGCGUCUGAUUAGCUAGUUGGUGUGGUAACGGCACACCAAGGCUACGAUCAGUAACUGGUCUGAGAGGAUGAUCAGUCACACUGGAACUGAGACACGGUCCAGACUCCUACGGGAGCAGCAGUGAGGAAUAUUGGGCAAUGCUCGAAAGAGUGACCCAGCAACGCCGCGUGGAGGAUGAAGGUAUUCUAUAUCGUAAACUCCUGUGAGAGCAGACGAAAGACAGAUUAUUAAUCUGGAUGACUGUAUGCUCAG
Molecule: ribosomal RNA, 456 nt
Filed under: uncultured bacterium
Lineage: Bacteria
Description: bacterial SSU rRNA
Rfam family: Bacterial small subunit ribosomal RNA
Source: RNAcentral